UACGGAAGGCAGCAGGGGGAAUAUUGCACAAUGGGCGAAAGCCUGAUGCAGCUAUGCCGCGUGUAUGAAGAAGGCCUUAGGGUUGUAAAGUACUUUCAUCGGGGAGGAAAAACAAAACUAAUAAUUUUAUUUCUUGACGUUACCCGAAAAAGAAGCACCGGCUAACUCCGUGCCAGCAGCCGCGGUAAUACGGAGGGUGCUAGCGUUAAUCAGAAUUACUGGGCGUAAAGAGCACGUAGGUGGUUUUUUUAAGUUCAGAUGUGAAAUCCCUGGGCUUAACCUAGGAACUGCAUUUUGAAACUGAAAUACUAGAGUAUCGUAGAGGGAGGUAGAAUUCUAGGUGUAGCGGUGAAAUGCGUAGAUAUCUGGAGGAAUACCUGUGGCGAAAGCGGCCUCCUAAACGAAUACUGACACUGAGGGUGCGAAAGCGUGGGGAGCGAAACAGGGAUUAGAUACC
RNAcentral lists this ribosomal RNA (457 nucleotides) under uncultured bacterium. Its description in RNAcentral is "bacterial SSU rRNA". It matches the Rfam family "Bacterial small subunit ribosomal RNA", at positions 340 to 786 of the family's 1533-position model. The record is from RNAcentral.